ACGAACGCUGGCGGUGUGCUUAACACAUGCAAGUCGAACGGUAAGGCCCUUUCGGGGGUACACGAGUGGCGAACGGGUGAGUAACACGUGAGUAACCUGCCCUCAUCUCUGGGAUAACAGUCGGAAACGGUUGCUAAUACUGGAUAUGAGCUUGCAAGGCAUCUUGUGGGUUGGAAAGAUUUUUUUUGGUUGGGGAUGGACUCGCGGCCUAUCAGCUUGUUGGUGAGGUAGUGGCUCACCAAGGCUUCGACGGGUAGCCGGCCUGAGAGGGCGACCGGCCACAUUGGGACUGAGAUACGGCCCAAACUCCUACGGGAGGCAGCAAUGGGGAAUAUUGCACAAUGGACGGAAGUCUGAUGCAGCAACGCCGCGUGCGGGAUGACGGCCUUCGGGUUGUAAACCGCUUUCAAUUGUGACGAAGCUUUUUUGUGACGGUAGCAGUAGAAGAAGCACCGGCUAACUACGUG
Molecule: ribosomal RNA, 467 nt
Filed under: uncultured bacterium
Lineage: Bacteria
Description: partial 16S ribosomal RNA
Rfam family: Bacterial small subunit ribosomal RNA
Source: RNAcentral